This 497-nucleotide ribosomal RNA is filed under the name uncultured bacterium. RNAcentral describes it as "partial 16S ribosomal RNA". It matches the Rfam family "Bacterial small subunit ribosomal RNA", at positions 28 to 507 of the family's 1533-position model. The record is from RNAcentral.
GAUGAACGCUGGCGGCGUGCCUAAUACAUGCAAGUCGAGCGAACAGUCGAGGAGCUUGCUUCUCUGACGUUAGCGGCGGACGGGUGAGGAACACGGGGAUAACCUACCUGUAAGGCUGGGAUACCUGCGAGAACCCGCAGCUAAUACCAGGUACUAUAUUGAACCGCGUGGUGCAAUGGUAAAAGACGGUUUUGCUGUCACUUAUAGAUUGAUCCCCGCUGCAUUAGCUAGUUGGUAAGGUAACGGCUUAUCAAGGCGGGGGUGCGGAGCCGCCCUGAGAGGGUGAUCGGGCCGACCGGAGAGGAGAGACGGUCCAGACGCCUACGGGAGGCAGCAGUAGCGAAUCCGCCGGAAUGGGGGAAAGAUUGACGGAGCAACGCCGCGUGAGUGAUGAAGGUAUUCUGUGCGUAAGACUCUGUUAUUAGGGAAGAACAAAUGUGUAAGUAGCUAUGCACGUCUUGACGGUACCUGAUCAGAAAGCCACGGCUAACUACGUG